AACGUAGGAGACAAACGUUAUCCGGAGUUACUGGGCGUAAAGGGCGUGCAGGUGGUCUGUUAAGCCUGGCGUGAAAGCUCUCGGCUAAACCGGGAGAGGUCGUUGGAUACUGGCGGACUAGAGGACGGUAGAGGCGUGUGGAAUUCCGGGUGUAGUGGUGAAAUGCGUAGAGAUCCGGAGGAACACCAGUGGCGAAGGCGACACGCUGGGCCGUACCUGACACUAAAACGCGACAGCAUGGGGAGCGAACGGG
This 253-nucleotide ribosomal RNA is filed under the name uncultured bacterium. RNAcentral's name for it is "partial 16S ribosomal RNA". It matches the Rfam family "Bacterial small subunit ribosomal RNA", at positions 524 to 776 of the family's 1533-position model. The record is from RNAcentral.